GGGUGGUAAUGCCGGAUGCUCCGACUCCUCGCAUGGGGUGUCGGGAAAGAUUUCAUCGGUAUGGGAUGGGGUCGCGUCCUAUCAGGUAGUCGGCGGGGUAACGGCCCACCGAGCCUACGACGGGUAGCCGGCCUGAGAGGGCGACCGGCCACAUUGGGACUGAGAUACGGCCCAGACUCCUACGGGAGGCAGCAGUGGGGAAUAUUGCACAAUGGGCGCAAGCCUGAUGCAGCGACGCCGCGUGCGGGAUGACGGCCUUCGGGUUGUAAACCGCUUUUGAUCGGGAGCAAGCCUUCGGGUGAGUGUACCUUUCGAAUAAGCACCGGCUAACUACGUGCCAGCAGCCGCGGUAAUACGUAGGGUGCAAGCGUUAUCCGGAAUUAUUGGGCGUAAAGGGCUCGUAGGCGGUUCGUCGCGUCCGGUGUGAAAGUCCAUCGCUUAACGGUGGAUCUGCGCCGGGUACGGGCGGGCUGGAGUGCGGUAGGGGAGACUGGAAUUCCCGGUGUAACGGUGGAAUGUGUAGAUAUCGGAAAGAACACCA
This 541-nucleotide ribosomal RNA is filed under the name Bifidobacterium catenulatum. RNAcentral's name for it is "bacterial SSU rRNA". It matches the Rfam family "Bacterial small subunit ribosomal RNA", at positions 158 to 711 of the family's 1533-position model. RNAcentral also lists the same sequence under 1 other name. The record is from RNAcentral. Lineage: Bacteria; Bacillati; Actinomycetota; Actinomycetes; Bifidobacteriales; Bifidobacteriaceae.